Molecule: long non-coding RNA, 1120 nt
Organism: Armigeres subalbatus
Lineage: Eukaryota; Metazoa; Arthropoda; Insecta; Diptera; Culicidae
Exons: 3
Source: RefSeq, a predicted model, not a curated record
CGGAAGAUUAAUACCACAAAUACAGGGCUACAGCAGCACUCCUGUCGAAUCUCGCUGAUGGAACUCCAAACUCGCCUACCAAAUCAGCAGCUCCCCCAAAAAUUACAGAAUUGCCGUUGGGAACUCUCCGAUACGAAACAACGUAGCUUUCAAGGGUGUUUGGUCAAGUGCACACGAAUUAAACACACCCCCUGUGUUGUGUUGUCAGCUUAUUUCGACGAAUCACUGGGACGUAUUAAAGACGCAUACUUCCCUUCUACAAUCGCCCUCGUCGAGGUGUUGGGUGAUCUACCAGACCGGAAUCAAUCGUGCGCAGAUUCAAUAAGUUACUGACCGGAACGAAACCAGCCUCUGCGGCUUUGUCUAUGAGGCACCCAGCUCGGCGUGACUUUUCGAAAGUAUUUAUCGUUACCGGAGGGGUAUAUUGUAGCGUUUCUUGUUAAAAAAUAACAUCGACAUGAUGACAUAGGAUGACUCGAUUUGAACUUCUGGAUAGAUGUAAUCUGCGGGCAGAGAAACGGCGUUAUUCCCACACUGACGGUCAGCAGGAGACAGCAAGGAUUGGGUCGUAUUUCGAGCAUAAAUGCCAACUGCAACAUGGUGUUGAAGCGAUGUGCCGAAAAAAAUCACCAUUAUCAUUAUGUGCAAAAAAAUGUCAACAACAGUGGUUGCCCCAAGCUGACCCAAGCUGUAAAUCUGACUUGAUUCCAAUGGACCUGUUACAGGUCACCUGUAUGUCAGUCUUCCGAAAUGCCUAUGCAACACGGAAUGAUGGAUCCUCGUACCUGUUCCUCCCACUGCAUACCUAUGCGGUUUAGCUACUUUUACCCUUGCUCUUCCUAUGGUCACGGUUGUUAUCCCCGAGAGCGAGAACGCAUUUCUAAAGAUAGCCAAAAUGCAGUGGUCCGGAUUGAAAUAUGAUUCAGCUGUAAAACCGCCAAGGUUUGUGGUAAAACUGUGUUAGUCUACACAUCCGUUAUGUUAUUAUCGAUUAUCGUCCGGUAUCGUCAUAUGCAGAUACACUAGCAGCAGAGAACACGAACUUCCUCGAGAAUCGCAGUAUAGAACUACUUCCUGAACCUGCCGGAAGCAGCAAUAUUAUAGAAUGUCAUAAAUAUGA